Molecule: ribosomal RNA, 174 nt
Filed under: uncultured bacterium
Lineage: Bacteria
Description: partial 16S ribosomal RNA
Rfam family: Bacterial small subunit ribosomal RNA
Source: RNAcentral
CACGAAGCUGGAUUCGCUAGUAAUCGCGCAUCAGCCACGGCGCGGUGAAUACGUUCCCGGGCCUUGUACACACCGCCCGUCAAGCCAUGGGAGCCGGGGGUACCUGAAGUGCGUAACCGCGAGGAGCGCCCUAGGGUAAAACUGGUGACUGGGGCUAAGUCGUAACAAGGUACC